GAGCUUUAACAGCACAACCGGGCUCCCUGUGAUUACAUCACUGCUGGGAGGAAGUGACUGCACGUCACUCCUCCCAGCAAUCAGACAGAGCCCACGCGGGAGGAAGCAGGCAGGAGGAGGGAGUCAGAGUGGGAACUCUGACUCCCAUCAGGCUGAGCCCCCACUGGACCCCAGGGAAAGUCACCAAAGGUAAGAAACAUUUUGUGUGUGUGUGUGUCUAUAUAUGUGUGUAUGUGUGUUUGUCUCUGUAUGUAUGUGUGUGUGUCUCUGUAUGUGUGUG
Molecule: non-coding RNA, 280 nt
Organism: Pelobates cultripes (western spadefoot toad)
Lineage: Eukaryota; Metazoa; Chordata; Amphibia; Anura; Pelobatidae
Source: the annotation of a GenBank genome assembly